This 219-nucleotide ribosomal RNA is filed under the name Pantoea sp. EKM10T. RNAcentral's name for it is "partial 23S ribosomal RNA". It matches the Rfam family "Bacterial large subunit ribosomal RNA", at positions 1407 to 1629 of the family's 2925-position model. Lineage: Bacteria; Pseudomonadati; Pseudomonadota; Gammaproteobacteria; Enterobacterales; Erwiniaceae. The record is from RNAcentral.
AGGCGUAGUCGAUGGGAAACAGGUUAAUAUUCCUGUACUCGGUGUUACUGCGAAGGGGGGACGGAGAAGGCUAUAUCGGCCGGGCGACGGUUGUCCCGGUUUAAGCGUGUAGGCGGAGUGUCCAGGUAAAUCCGGACGCUUGUUAACGCUGAGGCGUGACGACGAGGCACUACGGUGCUGAAGUGAUAAAUGCCCAGCUUCCAGGAAAAGCCUCUAAGC